GAAUUGUUCGCAAUGGGCGAAAGCCUGACGACGCAACGCCGCGUGGAGGAUGAAGGUCUUCGGAUUGUAAACUCCUGUUGAUUGGGACGAACACCCGCCGGGUGAACAGCCUGGCGGGCUGACGGUACCGAUUGAGGAAGCCCCGGCUAACUCUGUGCCAGCAGCCGCGGUAAUACAGAGGGGGCAAGCGUUGUUCGGAAUUACUGGGCGUAAAGGGCGCGUAGGCGGCCGCUUAAGUCAGACGUGAAAUCCCCCGGCUCAACCGGGGAACUGCGUCUGAUACUGGGUGGCUUGAAUCCGGGAGAGGGAUGUGGAAUUCCAGGUGUAGCGGUGAAAUGCGUAGAUAUCUGGAGGAACACCGGUGGCGAAGGCGGCAUCCUGGACCGGCAUUGACGCUGAGGCGCGAAAGCCAGGGGAGCAAACGG
RNAcentral lists this ribosomal RNA (425 nucleotides) under uncultured bacterium. RNAcentral describes it as "bacterial SSU rRNA". It matches the Rfam family "Bacterial small subunit ribosomal RNA", at positions 359 to 775 of the family's 1533-position model. The record is from RNAcentral.